Molecule: long non-coding RNA, 672 nt
Filed under: Phoenix dactylifera (date palm)
Lineage: Eukaryota; Viridiplantae; Streptophyta; Magnoliopsida; Arecales; Arecaceae
Description: long non-coding RNA (PDAC_LNC017880)
Source: RNAcentral
CCAUGUGGACCCAAUUUGGUUUUGAAUCGAACCCCAAAGGCUUCAAAUUGGACUUGGGCUAAAUCCUUGGAUAGGAUCCAAGCAAGUAAGUUCAUAGUAUGAUGAACUAAGAGAUUUUAUAAUAAAUAAAUGGGAAAUAAUGUAAACCCUAUGAUGUUGUUUUAGGUGAUUAAGGAUUUGUCACCUGGACUUGAGCAAUUUGGAAAGCGAAUUGAUGUAAGUAAUCUUUCUUAAUCUUAUCGUAGAUCUUGUAUUACGUUUUAUAAGAUGAACCAGUGUUUUUCAUACAAUUUGAAUUGUAUACAUGAUUUGUGAAGAAAGUAAGUAACCUUUUCUAAUCUUGUUAUGGAUUAUGUCAUGUUAUUAAUGUUUCCUAAGCAUUUAUUUUAAGUAUAUAUGUUUCAUGCAUGAUAUGUUACAAUGCAUAAGUAACUUGCAUGAUCUCAGAAGCUAUGGCUAUGUAUGCAACAUGAUGAUGCUGAUAUUUUAAUCAUGCAUGUAAGUUUAUAAAAUCUUAGCUAGCCAAAAGGCACUAUUAUAAUGGGCUCAAAGAUGCUACUGAUCGAAUGCAACUGAGCUGGCCUUGCUAGUGGCCGAGAAUAACUUCGCUGGCCUUGCUAGUGGCCGAGAAUGACUAGCUGGCCCCGCCAGUGGCCGAAUGGACUUCGCAGU